AUGCUUCGACAAAUCGCGUUUGGUGGCGAUGGCGGAGGGGUUCCACACGUACCCAUCCCGAACACGACCGUUAAGCCCUCUAGCGCCGAUGGUACUUGGACCGCAGGGUCCUGGGAGAGUAGGACGCCGCCAAGC
Molecule: ribosomal RNA, 135 nt
Filed under: Paenibacillus sp. ov031
Lineage: Bacteria; Bacillati; Bacillota; Bacilli; Caryophanales; Paenibacillaceae
Source: RNAcentral